Molecule: long non-coding RNA, 258 nt
Organism: Mizuhopecten yessoensis (Yesso scallop)
Lineage: Eukaryota; Metazoa; Mollusca; Bivalvia; Pectinida; Pectinidae
Exons: 2
Source: RefSeq, a predicted model, not a curated record
GUUUCAGGAAAAGAAUGCAGUCGAUUGAUCACUAGAGAUAGACAUUAUAUGUCGAGAAUGCUUUCAUAUUGAUCCUCACACCUAUGAAGCUGUUUCUUGGGAGGAGGACAGAAAAUUUAAAGACUACUUCCUGUAAAAAAAAGUAUGCUAGGUAAUAGGACUACACUCGACCACUGGACCCUGUGAGAAAGAAGAAGAAGAAGGAAACAGAAUGCGUUUCAUUGUACAUAUACUCAAUAAAUAUUAGUAGGCACUCUC